AGAGUUUGAUCCUGGCUCAGAUUGAACGCUGGCGGCAGGCCUAACACAUGCAAGUCGAGCGGUAGCACAGAGAGCUUGCUCUCGGGUGACGAGCGGCGGACGGGUGAGUAAUGUCUGGGAAACUGCCUGAUGGAGGGGGAUAACUACUGGAAACGGUAGCUAAUACCGCAUAACGUCGCAAGACCAAAGUGGGGGACCUUCGGGCCUCAUGCCAUCAGAUGUGCCCAGAUGGGAUUAGCUAGUAGGUGGGGUAACGGCUCACCUAGGCGACGAUCCCUAGCUGGUCUGAGAGGAUGACCAGCCACACUGGAACUGAGACACGGUCCAGACUCCUACGGGAGGCAGCAGUGGGGAAUAUUGCACAAUGGGCGCAAGCCUGAUGCAGCCAUGCCGCGUGUGUGAAGAAGGCCUUCGGGUUGUAAAGCACUUUCAGCGGGGAGGAAGGCGGUGAGGUUAAUAACCUCAUCGAUUGACGUUACCCGCAGAAGAAGCACCGGCUAACUCCGUGCCAGCAGCCGCGGUAAUACGGAGGGUGCAAGCGUUAAUCGGAAUUACUGGGCGUAAAGCGCACGCAGGCGGUCUGUCAAGUCGGAUGUGAAAUCCCCGGGCUCAACCUGGGAACUGCAUUCGAAACUGGCAGGCUAGAGUCUUGUAGAGGGGGGUAGAAUUCCAGGUGUAGCGGUGAAAUGCGUAGAGAUCUGGAGGAAUACCGGUGGCGAAGGCGGCCCCCUGGACAAAGACUGACGCUCAGGUGCGAAAGCGUGGGGAGCAAACAGGAUUAGAUACCCUGGUAGUCCACGCUGUAAACGAUGUCGAUUUGGAGGUUGUGCCCUUGAGGCGUGGCUUCCGGAGCUAACGCGUUAAAUCGACCGCCUGGGGAGUACGGCCGCAAGGUUAAAACUCAAAUGAAUUGACGGGGGCCCGCACAAGCGGUGGAGCAUGUGGUUUAAUUCGAUGCAACGCGAAGAACCUUACCUGGUCUUGACAUCCACAGAACUUACCAGAGAUGGUUUGGUGCCUUCGGGAACUGUGAGACAGGUGCUGCAUGGCUGUCGUCAGCUCGUGUUGUGAAAUGUUGGGUUAAGUCCCGCAACGAGCGCAACCCUUAUCCUUUGUUGCCAGCGGUUAGGCCGGGAACUCAAAGGAGACUGCCAGUGAUAAACUGGAGGAAGGUGGGGAUGACGUCAAGUCAUCAUGGCCCUUACGACCAGGGCUACACACGUGCUACAAUGGCAUAUACAAAGAGAAGCGACCUCGCGAGAGCAAGCGGACCUCAUAAAGUAUGUCGUAGUCCGGAUUGGAGUCUGCAACUCGACUCCAUGAAGUCGGAAUCGCUAGUAAUCGUAGAUCAGAAUGCUACGGUGAAUACGUUCCCGGGCCUUGUACACACCGCCCGUCACACCAUGGGAGUGGGUUGCAAAAGAAGUAGGUAGCUUAACCUUCGGGAGGGCGCUUACCACUUUGUGAUUCAUGACUGGGGUGAAGUCGUAACAAGGUACCCG
RNAcentral lists this ribosomal RNA (1502 nucleotides) under Klebsiella sp. RNAcentral's name for it is "16S ribosomal RNA". It matches the Rfam family "Bacterial small subunit ribosomal RNA". The record is from RNAcentral. Lineage: Bacteria; Pseudomonadati; Pseudomonadota; Gammaproteobacteria; Enterobacterales; Enterobacteriaceae.